GAAGCGGCAACAGCUCAAAUUUGAAAUCUGGCCCCUAGGGCCCGAGUUGUAAUUUGCAGAGGAUGCUUUUGGCGAGGUGCCUUCCGAGUUCCCUGGAACGGGACGCCAUAGAGGGUGAGAGCCCCGUCUGGUUGGACGCCGAGCCUCUGUAAAGCUCCUUCGACGAGUCGAGUAGUUUGGGAAUGCUGCUCUAAAUGGGAGGUAUAUGUCUUCUAAAGCUAAAUAUUGGCCAGAGACCGAUAGCGCACAAGUAGAGUGAUCGAAAGAUGAAAAGCACUUUGAAAAGAGGGUUAAACAGUACGUGAAAUUGUUGAAAGGGAAGCGCUCAUGACCAGACUUGGACCCGGUGAAUCAUCCAGCGUUCUCGCUGGUGCACUUUGCCGGGCUCAGGCCAGCAUCAGUUUGCCCCGGGGGAUAAAGGCUUUGGGAAUGUGGCUCCCUCGGGAGUGUUAUAGCCCAUCGCACAAUACCCUGGGGCGGACUGAGGUUCGCGCAUCUGCAAGGAUGCUGGCGUAAUGGUCAUCAGCGACCCGUCUUGAAACACGGACCAAGGAGUCGUCUUCGUAUGCGAGUGUUCGGGUGUAAAACCCCUACGCGUAAUGAAAGUGAACGCAGGUGAGAGCUUCGGCGCAUCAUCGACCGAUCCUGAUGUUCUCGGAUGGAUUUGAGUAAGAGCAUACGGGGCCGGACCCGAAAGAAGGUGAACUAUGCCUGUAUAGGGUGAAGCCAGAGGAAACUCUGGUGGAGGCUCGCAGCGGUUCUGACGUGCAAAUCGAUCGUCAAAUAUGGGCAUGGGGGCGAAAG
Molecule: ribosomal RNA, 804 nt
Filed under: Metarhizium owariense
Lineage: Eukaryota; Fungi; Ascomycota; Sordariomycetes; Hypocreales; Clavicipitaceae
Description: LSU rRNA
Rfam family: Eukaryotic large subunit ribosomal RNA
Source: RNAcentral